GACGAACGCUGGCGGCGCGCUUAACACAUGCAAGUCGAACGGAAAGGCCUGCUUUCCCUUGUGGAUUGCGGGUACUCGAGUGGCGAACGGGUGAGUAACACGUGAGUGAUCUGCCCCCAACUUGGGUAUAAGCCUGGGAAACUGGGUCUAAUUCCCGAUAGGACUGCAGGGUGGUGCCUGUGGUGGAAAACAAUUUUCUAGUGGUUGGGGAUGAGCUCGCGGCCUAUCAGCUUGUUGGUGGGGUAAUGGCCUACCAAGGCGGCGACGGGUAGCCGGCCUGAGAGGGUGGACGGCCACAUUGGGACUGAGAUACGGCCCAGACUCCUACGGGAGGCAGCAGUGGGGAAUAGUGCACAAUGGGCGGAAGCCUGAUGCAGCGACGCCGCGUGGGGGAUGACGGCCUUCGGGUGGUAAACUCCUUUCGACCGCGAGGAAGCCACCUGGUUGGAAGGGUGGUGACGGUAGUGGUAGAAGAAGCACCGGCUAACUACGUG
Molecule: ribosomal RNA, 494 nt
Filed under: uncultured bacterium
Lineage: Bacteria
Description: partial 16S ribosomal RNA
Rfam family: Bacterial small subunit ribosomal RNA
Source: RNAcentral